RNAcentral lists this transfer RNA (73 nucleotides) under Stegodyphus mimosarum. It matches the Rfam family "tRNA". Rfam says of the family: Transfer RNA (tRNA) molecules are approximately 80 nucleotides in length. Their secondary structure includes four short double-helical elements and three loops (D, anti-codon, and T loops). The record is from Rfam by way of RNAcentral. Lineage: Eukaryota; Metazoa; Arthropoda; Arachnida; Araneae; Eresidae.
GCCUUCGUGGUGUAGCGGUUAGCACGCUUGUCGCGAAACCGAGAGGUCCAUGGUUCGAUUCCCGGCGAGGGCA